GAUGAACGCUGGCGGCGUGCCUAAUACAUGCAAGUCGAGCGAACAGACGAGGAGCUUGCUCCUCUGACGUUAGCGGCGGACGGGUGAGUAACACGUGGAUAACCUACCUAUAAGACUGGGAUAACUUCGGGAAACCGGAGCUAAUACCGGAUAAUAUAUUGAACCGCAUGGUUCAAUAGUGAAAGACGGUUUUGCUGUCACUUAUAGAUGGAUCCGCGCCGCAUUAGCUAGUUGGUAAGGUAACGGCUUACCAAGGCAACGAUGCGUAGCAGACCUGAGAGGGUGAUCGGCCACACUGGAACUGAGACACGGUCCAGACUCCUACGGGAGGCAGCAGGAGGGAAUCUUCCGCAAUGGGCGAAAGCCUGACGGAGCAACGCCGCGUGAGUGAUGAAGGUCUUCGGAUCGUAAAACUCUGUUAUUAGGGAAGAACAAAUGUGUAAGUAACUAUGCACGUCUUGACGGUACCUAAUCAGAAAGCCACGGCUAACUACGU
This 496-nucleotide ribosomal RNA is filed under the name uncultured bacterium. Its description in RNAcentral is "partial 16S ribosomal RNA". It matches the Rfam family "Bacterial small subunit ribosomal RNA", at positions 28 to 506 of the family's 1533-position model. The record is from RNAcentral.